AGUGAACGCUGGCGGUAGGCCUAACACAUGCGAGUCGAACGGCAGCACAGGAGAGCUUGCUCUCUAGGUGGCGAGUGGCGGACGGGUGAGGAAUACAUCGGAAUCUGCCCAGUCGUGGGGGAUAACGUAGGGAAACUUACGCUAAUACCGCAUACGACCUUCGGGUGAAAGAGGGGGAUCGCAAGACCUCUCGCGAUUGGAUGAGCCGAUGUCGGAUUAGCUAGUUAGCGGGGUAAUGGCCCACCAAGGCGACGAUCCGUAGCUGGUCUGAGAGGAUGAUCAGCCACACUGGAACUGCGACACGGUCCAGACUCCUACGGGAGGCAGCAGUGGGGAAUAUUGGACAAUGGGCGCAAGCCUGAUCCAGCCAUACCGCGUGGGUGAAGAAGGCCUUCGGGUUGUAAAGCCCUUUUGUUGGGAAAGAAAUCUUUCAGGCUAAUACCCUGGGAGGAUGACGGUACCCAAAGAAUAAGCACCGGCUAACUUCGUG
Molecule: ribosomal RNA, 490 nt
Filed under: uncultured bacterium
Lineage: Bacteria
Description: partial 16S ribosomal RNA
Rfam family: Bacterial small subunit ribosomal RNA
Source: RNAcentral